CUCUGACACUGCAGCAACAGAAUAACUAAGAAUCUGGGGUACUUCAUGGCCUUAAGGCAUCACAACACAAAGACUUGAAGAGGCCUAAAAGAGGGUUUUCCUCUGUUUGUCAUGCUAUUCAUCUGACUGAGAAACACUGAAAAAUUGGAAUGUGUUAGCAGAACAAGCUAGAAGAAUACAAAUCAUUCUCUUUCUGCCCCUCUGUGGGAAUAACUUUGGUGCCUGGGGCAGCAGAAGACUCCUACGGAGAUAGAUCUGUGUGAAGUUCUGUCUGUUCCCUGUUUCCUUCUGUCAUUGCCUUCUGCCUCCGCCUCUGUUUUUUCUUCCUUUGUAAAGGCCGUUCAAGGAGGACAGAUGACUCAUUGGUUAGGACACACUGGACCUCUGUCCAGAUUAUUGGUGUUCAUUUCCUAGAUUUGCUAU
This 423-nucleotide long non-coding RNA is filed under the name Struthio camelus australis. RNAcentral describes it as "lncRNA (ENSSCUG00000010743.1)". The record is from RNAcentral. Lineage: Eukaryota; Metazoa; Chordata; Aves; Struthioniformes; Struthionidae.